UUCUCACGCUCCCUCUCCGCUCCCCGGCCCCUCACACGCAUGCGUCAAUCGGCAGCUUGUAACAAGAAGAUUUCCAUCAUAUCUUUCUUUACAAACCCUGAAAUUAUAGAAAAAAAAAUACGCCCGUUUUGGGAGGAAAAUCCUCCUCACCCCGACCUGCAGAACAAUGUAGCCCACAGCUGAGGACGCCCCCGACUUUCUUUCUUUUUUUUUUUUUUUAAACAGCCGACCGGAUGCCUGCAAAAAGAAAAAGCUCCUCAAAUCCUCCCAAUCGGCGCGUUGUGAUGUUCAUCAGCCACCAUGAGGUGUACCAGCACUGAGUCUGAGACCUGAACCUGCAGACAUGCUGCAAAGCUCCCGUGAGUCAGAACUUACAUCCUGAAUUGUGAAGUGGGAAAACCUUCACAUGACAAACAGCUGCUUGUGAAAUCGGAGCUGGACUGUUAGGUAUUGUAAUAAAAGAAAAAAAAAACAGACACAGCUCAAAUAAUGAAAAAGAGACAGUUGAAGAAUUGAAAAGCUUUUGAAGCCAGACAGACUGAUGGAGCGGGGGAAAAAAAAUACAAUUCUACAAAUCUGUAUCAGUGAAUGAGUGAAUGAUUAAUUAAUUUUUGUUGAAUGAUCUGUUCUAGCCGUGCGAGAUAUCAGUUUCCAUUUCUUUUUACACUUUUACAGAAGAUCUCAAGAGACCGCCAGUUCAAAAGACGGUUCAAUUUAGAGCUCCCAUCGGAAAUGGUUUCAGAGAGUCUUUGCCAUACGUUGGGCUUUGAUGUGUUUUAACUGUCGUAAUCUCACUGUUCGGAGAUGGGAAAAUAAAUUCUGUUAAUUUUU
Molecule: long non-coding RNA, 831 nt
Organism: Epinephelus lanceolatus (giant grouper)
Lineage: Eukaryota; Metazoa; Chordata; Actinopteri; Perciformes; Serranidae
Source: RefSeq, a predicted model, not a curated record